ACUCCUACGGGAGGCAGCAGUGAGGAAUAUUGGUCAAUGGGCGAGAGCCUGAACCAGCCAAGUAGCAUGAAGGAUGACCGCCCUAUGGGUUGUAAACUUCUUUUGUGUGGGAAUAAAGUGAGCCACGUGUGGCUUUUUGUAUGUACCAUACGAAUAAGGAUCGGCUAACUCCGUGCCAGCAGCCGCGGUAA
This 191-nucleotide ribosomal RNA is filed under the name uncultured Bacteroides sp. RNAcentral describes it as "partial 16S ribosomal RNA". It matches the Rfam family "Bacterial small subunit ribosomal RNA", at positions 335 to 523 of the family's 1533-position model. Lineage: Bacteria; Pseudomonadati; Bacteroidota; Bacteroidia; Bacteroidales; Bacteroidaceae. The record is from RNAcentral.